This is a small nuclear RNA of Ochotona curzoniae (black-lipped pika), 102 nucleotides long. Lineage: Eukaryota; Metazoa; Chordata; Mammalia; Lagomorpha; Ochotonidae. The record is from RefSeq and is a predicted model, not a curated record.
GUGCUCGCUUCGGCAGCACAUAGACUAAAAUUGGAAUGAUACAGAAAAAAUUAGCAUGGCCCCUGCGCAAGGAUGACCCAACGGAAAGCACUGUCCUUUCUU